GAGGAUGUAACUCAGUCGGCAGUGUUCGCCUAGCGUGCGUGAAGUCCUGGGUUCGAUCCCCGGCGUCCCCU
RNAcentral lists this transfer RNA (71 nucleotides) under Rattus norvegicus (Norway rat). It matches the Rfam family "tRNA". From Rfam's summary of the family: Transfer RNA (tRNA) molecules are approximately 80 nucleotides in length. Their secondary structure includes four short double-helical elements and three loops (D, anti-codon, and T loops). The record is from Rfam by way of RNAcentral. Lineage: Eukaryota; Metazoa; Chordata; Mammalia; Rodentia; Muridae.